RNAcentral lists this ribosomal RNA (449 nucleotides) under uncultured prokaryote. Its description in RNAcentral is "bacterial SSU rRNA". It matches the Rfam family "Bacterial small subunit ribosomal RNA", at positions 355 to 796 of the family's 1533-position model. The record is from RNAcentral.
UCGGGAAUCUUGCACGAUGGGCGAAAGCCUGAUGCAGCAACGCCGUGUGAGCGAGGAAGGCCUUCGGGUCGUAAAGCUCUGUUGUUGGGGACGAAGGGCGAAGGGUUAAUAGCCCCUAGUCUGACGGUACCCUUCGAGGAAGCCCCGGCUAACUACGUGCCAGCAGCCGCGGUAAUACGUAGGGGGCGAGCGUUGUCCGGAAUUAUUGGGCGUAAAGAGCGUGUAGGCGGCCCGGUAAGUCCGCCGUGAAAACCUGGGGCUCAACCCUGGGCGUGCGGUGGAUACUGCUGGGCUAGAGGAUGGUAGAGGCGAGUGGAAUUCCCGGUGUAGCGGUGAAAUGCGCAGAGAUCGGGAGGAACACCAGUGGCGAAAGCGCUCUACUGGACCGUAACUGACACUCACAGGACGAAAGCUAGGGGAGCGAAUGGGAUUAGAUACCCCUGUAGUCC